This 428-nucleotide ribosomal RNA is filed under the name uncultured bacterium. RNAcentral describes it as "partial 16S ribosomal RNA". It matches the Rfam family "Bacterial small subunit ribosomal RNA", at positions 354 to 796 of the family's 1533-position model. The record is from RNAcentral.
GUGGGGAAUAUUGGGCAAUGGGCGCAAGCCUGACCCAGCAACGCCGCGUGAAGGAAGAAGGCUUUCGGGUUGUAAACUUCUUUUACCAGGGACGAAACAAAUGACGGUACCUGGUGAAUAAGCCACGGCUAACUACGUGCCAGCAGCCGCGGUAAUACGUAGGUGGCGAGCGUUAUCCGGAUUUAUUGGGUGUAAAGGGCGUGUAGGCGGGACAGCAAGUCAGAUGUGAAAACCAGAGGCUCAACCUCUGGCCUGCAUUUGAAACUGUUGUUCUUGAAUGUCGGAGAGGUAAUCGGAAUUCCGUGUGUAGCGGUGAAAUGCGUAGAUAUACGGAGGAACACCAGUGGCGAAGGCGGAUUACUGGACGAUAACUGACGCUGAGGCGCGAAAGCGUGGGGAGCAAACAGGAUUAGAAACCCCUGUAGUCC